AAUGGCUCACCAAGGCGACGAUGCGUAGCCGACCUGAGAGGGUGAUCGGCCACACUGGGACUGAGACACGGCCCAGACUCCUACGGGAGGCAGCAGUAGGGAAUCUUCCGCAAUGGACGAAAGUCUGACGGAGCAACGCCGCGUGAGUGAUGAAGGUUUUCGGAUCGUAAAGCUCUGUUGUUAGGGAAGAACAAGUGCGAGAGUAACUGCUCGCACCUUGACGGUACCUAACCAGAAAGCCACGGCUAACUACGUGCCAGCAGCCGCGGUAAUACGUAGGUGGCAAGCGUUGUCCGGAAUUAUUGGGCGUAAAGGGCUCGCAGGCGGUUUCUUAAGUCUGAUGUGAAAGCCCCCGGCUCAACCGGGGAGGGUCAUUGGAAACUGGGAAACUUGAGUGCAGAAGAGGAGAGUGGAAUUCCACGUGUAGCGGUGAAAUGCGUAGAGAUGUGGAGGAACACCAGUGGCGAAGGCGACUCUCUGGUCUGUAACUGACGCUGAGGAGCGAAAGCGUGGGGAGCGAACAGGAUUAGAUACCCUGGUAGUCCACGCCGUAAACGAUGAGUGCUAAGUGUUAGGGGGUUUCCGCCCCUUAGUGCUGCAGCUAACGCAUUAAGCACUCCGCCUGGGGAGUACGGUCGCAAGACUGAAACUCAAAGGAAUUGACGGGGGCCCGCACAAGCGGUGGAGCAUGUGGUUUAAUUCGAAGCAACGCGAAGAACCUUACCAGGUCUUGACAUCCUCUGACAACCCUAGAGAUAGGGCAUUCCCUUCGGGGACAGAGUGACAGGUGGUGCAUGGUUGUCGUCAGCUCGUGUCGUGAGAUGUUGGGUUAAGUCCCGCAACGAGCGCAACCCUUGAUCUUAGUUGCCAGCAUUCAGUUGGGCACUCUAAGGUGACUGCCGGUGACAAACCGGAGGAAGGUGGGGAUGACGUCAAAUCAUCAUGCCCCUUAUGACCUGGGCUACACACGUGCUACAAUGGACAGAACAAAGGGCUGCAAGACCGCAAGGUUUAGCCAAUCCCAUAAAUCUGUUCUCAGUUCGGAUCGCAGUCUGCAACUCGACUGCGUGAAGCUGGAAUCGCUAGUAAUCGCGGAUCAGCAUGCCGCGGUGAAUACGUUCCCGGGCCUUGUACACACCGCCCGUCACACCACGAGAGUUUGCAACACCCGAAGUCGGUGAGGUAACCUUUAUGGAGCCAGCCGCCGAAGGUGGGGCAGAUGAUUGGGGUGGAGUCGUAACAAGGUAGCCGUAACGGUACGGUCGGAGAGUUUGAUCCUGGUCGUAACAAGGUAGCCGUACGGACGGAGAGUUUGAUCCUGGUCGUAACAAGGUAGCCGUAGCCCGGAGAGUUUGAUCCUGGUCGUAACAAGGUAGCCGUACUCGGAGAGUUUGAUCCUGGUCGUAACAAGGUAGCCGUAGGUCGGAGAGUUUGAUCCUGGUCGUAACAAGGUAGCCGUAGGGACGGAGAGUUUGAUCCA
Molecule: ribosomal RNA, 1480 nt
Filed under: Bacillus pumilus
Lineage: Bacteria; Bacillati; Bacillota; Bacilli; Caryophanales; Bacillaceae
Description: bacterial SSU rRNA
Rfam family: Bacterial small subunit ribosomal RNA (bases 1-1278)
Source: RNAcentral